RNAcentral lists this ribosomal RNA (253 nucleotides) under uncultured bacterium. RNAcentral describes it as "partial 16S ribosomal RNA". It matches the Rfam family "Bacterial small subunit ribosomal RNA", at positions 524 to 776 of the family's 1533-position model. The record is from RNAcentral.
UACGUAGGGGGCAAGCGUUGUCCGGAUUUAUUGGGCGUAAAGAGCGUGUAGGCGGCUUGGUAGGUCCGCUGUGAAAACUAGAGGCUUAACCUCUAGACGUCGAUGGAAGCCGUCUGGCUAGAGUCCGGAAGAGGAGAAUGGAAUUCCUGGUGUAGCGGUGAAAUGCGCAGAUAUCAGGAAGAACACCCGUGGCUAAGGCGGUUCUCUAGUACGGUACUGACGCUGAGACGCGAAAGCGUGGGGAGCGAACAGG